CGCGUAGGCGGUCAUGCAAGUCAGGUGUGAAAUCCCCAGGCUUAACCUGGGAACUGCGCUUGAAACUGCAUAGCUUGAGGCCGGGAGAGGAAACGUGGAAUUCCUGGUGUAGCGGUGAAAUGCGUAGAUAUCAGGAGGAACACCGGUGGCGAAGGCGGCUUUCUGGACCGGUUCUGACGCUGAAGCGCGAAAGCGUGGGGAGCAAACG
Molecule: ribosomal RNA, 208 nt
Filed under: uncultured bacterium
Lineage: Bacteria
Description: partial 16S ribosomal RNA
Rfam family: Bacterial small subunit ribosomal RNA
Source: RNAcentral